UUCUGGUUGAUCCUGCCGGACCCUACUGCUAUCGGGGUGGGACUAAGACAUGCGAGUCGAGCGUCUCUAGCUAUGUUGAGACGCGGCAGACGGCUCAGUAACACGUGGCUAACCUACCCUCAGGACAGGGACAAACCCGGGAAACUGGGGCUAAUACCAGAUAGGCGAAGAUGCCUGGAAUGGUUUUUCGCUCAAAGGACCUUGGAAACAUGCUUUCAAGUCGCCUGAGGAUGGGGCCGCGUCCGAUCAGGUUGUUGGUGAGGUAACGGCUCACCAAGCCUAUAACCGGUACGGGCCGUGAGAGCGGUAGCCCGGAGAUGGGUACUGAGACAAGGACCCAGGCCCUACGGGGCGCAGCAGUCGCGAAAACUCCGCAAUGCACGAAAGUGUGACGGGGCUACCCCGAGUGCUCUCCGCUGAGGAAAGCUUUUCUCUGGUGUAACAAGCCAGGGGGAAUAAGGAGAGGGCAAGACUGGUGUCAGCCGCCCGCGGUAA
Molecule: ribosomal RNA, 495 nt
Filed under: uncultured archaeon
Lineage: Archaea
Description: bacterial SSU rRNA
Rfam family: Archaeal small subunit ribosomal RNA
Source: RNAcentral